ACAAACAUUUGGUUGGAGAAGGAAAUGGUACUUUGUUUGGAAAUUGCGAAACACCCAGUAGUAACGGCGAUACUAUUCCCAAGAAUCGUAGGCGAAAAAGGGCUCUUUUCUUCGCCAUUACGGAACGUUCCUUCAGAAAAAGAAAAUUGAGAUAACAACAGAUCACGUUUGUUUCAAUUCCGCUUCGUUGUCUGGUUGGGAUCUACAACACAAGUUUCGAUCCUAGAGCGUAUUCUCGCAAUGCAAAUUAUCGAACUUCCAAUUCGGAGCAACUACGUAAAAUUUCCAAGUGGCGAACUCUGUGCGUUGGAAGUUCUUCGUUAAUGUAGUUCCACGGUCGAUGACAAUUUAUAGUCCCCUGUUAUUGUUAAUUUCAUUG
RNAcentral lists this unclassified non-coding RNA (379 nucleotides) under Bombus terrestris (buff-tailed bumblebee). Its description in RNAcentral is "misc RNA ENSBTSG00005023300.1". Lineage: Eukaryota; Metazoa; Arthropoda; Insecta; Hymenoptera; Apidae. The record is from RNAcentral.